GCCUUCGUGGUGUAGUGGUCAGCACGUUCGGCUCGUAUUCGAGAGGUCCGUGGUUCGAGUCCCGGUAAAGGCA
Stegodyphus mimosarum is the source of this 73-nucleotide non-coding RNA. The record is from Rfam. Lineage: Eukaryota; Metazoa; Arthropoda; Arachnida; Araneae; Eresidae.